This 44-nucleotide unclassified non-coding RNA is filed under the name Vibrio coralliirubri. RNAcentral's name for it is "U7". The record is from RNAcentral. Lineage: Bacteria; Pseudomonadati; Pseudomonadota; Gammaproteobacteria; Vibrionales; Vibrionaceae.
UCUUGUAAAUGUCAUAAGUCAGUUCAGUGUUUCACUGAGCUUUA